RNAcentral lists this microRNA precursor (60 nucleotides) under Callorhinchus milii (elephant shark). RNAcentral describes it as "Cmi-Mir-24-P3_pre stem-loop". It matches the Rfam family "mir-24 microRNA precursor family", at positions 8 to 65 of the family's 69-position model. From Rfam's summary of the family: This family represents the microRNA (miRNA) mir-24 family. miRNAs are transcribed as ~70nt precursors (modelled here) and subsequently processed by the Dicer enzyme to give a ~22nt product. In this case the mature sequence comes from the 3' arm of the precursor. Lineage: Eukaryota; Metazoa; Chordata; Chondrichthyes; Chimaeriformes; Callorhinchidae. The record is from RNAcentral.
GUGCCUACUGAGCUGAUAACAGUUGAUAUUGUUUGCACUGGCUCAGUUCAGCAGGAACAG